Long non-coding RNA from Gastrolobium bilobum, 715 nucleotides. RefSeq lists it as uncharacterized. The record is from RefSeq and is a predicted model, not a curated record. Lineage: Eukaryota; Viridiplantae; Streptophyta; Magnoliopsida; Fabales; Fabaceae. The transcript is spliced from 3 exons.
AUAUAGUCUGUUAAUUCAGAUUGAUAAUUAAUCUUCGAGUCUCUCUUCCCUCUUGGCACCUCACUGUAAAAAAACCGAACCAGAACACCCACUCCCUCUCAUUCCUAAAGCAGCAAGCACACCUAAACUGAACUGCACCCGCUCCACACCUUCGACCAAAUCAACCAUGGUACAGAUUGCCUGACAGUUCAUUGUGUUUCAUCAUUUCCACCAGGUCCGUGGCGUUCCUAGGAAGGGGGGAUUACCGUUCCAUUGUUAUUCCCUUCCCCUUCCAGCCGUGCGUUCAUCAGCAAAGAAAUGGAGAGUUCAUCGUUGUUACUGCCUUUUCUUCCAUAGUAGGUUCUGACCAAGUUCUUCUUGGUGUGCGCAUGUCUUGGUUCGAUUUGAUGAGGACUUCCCCUGCAUGCAUAACCGAGUUUAAGUUCACAUCCACUCAUCCUUCUUCUUGUCCAGCCGAAACAACCCGCAGCAAGGAGAAUCUAUCUUAAGGAGGUGCAUGGAACUCAAUUUUUGGAGCUCUUGGAGGGGAGAGGUUGCUGUCUCCUAAUCGAUUUGGCUAGUGUGUGUACCGCUAAGAGGUGCGCAUAAACCUCUAAGAAUGUGGACUAUUCUGGUGUGGUUUGAAUUGUAUUUGGGCACGCAAGGUAUGUGUUUGGUGGUGAGACCUACUGUGACUAUUAGCUAGAGUAUGGAAUUUUGAACUGAUGCUCACAUG